AGCGAGCUGAUCGGGUUCGGCUGGCGGCGCCGCUGCCCGGAGCAGCCGCUGCGCGAGUCCGCGGAGAGCGCCGUUAGGCCCUAGCAGAUGAUAAAUAAAAUGAAAAGGAACAGAAACCUCAAACUGAGCUUAUCUGAAUGCUGAAUAAUAUUCUCAUUCAAGGUGGGUAUUAGCCCUAUUUUUCCAGAUAAGGAAACAAACUCAGUUGCUGUUGCCAUCAUCUGACAAAAGAAAACAAGUCUGUAGUCGGAAGCUGUUUAAGAAGUCAUUUGUUGACUCUUCAAUACAGACAGGGAAACAGGGACCUGUGGAAGUUUGAUGACGUGCCCAGCAUCGUCGGGGACUGCAGUGAAGUGUCUCAGUUUUUUGGUCUUGAGGUUUAGAGUUGUCUCAAAGCCUCUUAAA
This is a long non-coding RNA of Artibeus jamaicensis (Jamaican fruit-eating bat), 405 nucleotides long. RefSeq lists it as uncharacterized. NCBI's taxonomy places the organism in Eukaryota, Metazoa, Chordata, Mammalia, Chiroptera, Phyllostomidae. The transcript has 3 exons. The record is from RefSeq and is a predicted model, not a curated record.